Long non-coding RNA from Leucoraja erinaceus (little skate), 1624 nucleotides. RefSeq lists it as uncharacterized. The record is from RefSeq and is a predicted model, not a curated record. NCBI's taxonomy places the organism in Eukaryota, Metazoa, Chordata, Chondrichthyes, Rajiformes, Rajidae. The transcript has 3 exons.
CUGAGUGAUGGGGUCUGAUGAAUAGUAGCAAUGGUGACUGAUGUAAUGGCCAGGAGAUGGCUUUGAAGGUUAAUUCGUUAACCACUUGGGUGAGAUCAAUGAGUUUCUUCCUCUGGCCUUGUCCAGGCAUUGACCUGCAAGCUCCUCCUGGUUUCCGAGUAAGGACAUUCUUGAUCCCUGCAGAAACAAAGCAUUCCUCCUUGUCCCCGCCCCGGCCAAGAAUCCACAUCUGCCUCCCAGGCCUUCUUCAGCUCCGGAAUUCAAGCCCACACCCGGCAGCAGCCACAAGGCAACUUCACUUUAACGGGUGCUUUGACUUGGGUUCGCUGCUAACAAAAAUGGGCCCCUUUGCUCAGUGAGGGAGCCAGUGAAGAGUCCGGCACGGUGGCGCAGCGGAUAAAACAGCUGCGUUACAGCGCCCGAGACACGGGUUCAAUCCUGACUGUGUGGAGUUUGCAUGUUCUUCCCUUGGAUUUGAUUCCACAUCCCAAAGGCUCUGAGAUGGCUCUACAUUUUAAUGCAAACCACCUCUAUCUGCUACAAGGUCCUGACUUGGGACAACAUAUUCAAAAUUAUGCCAUUCUGCAGCAGAAAACUGUGCUCAACAGGAAACCAAAUCGUACUUUCACUUACGGAGCACCAGAAGAUGAGUGCAACAUGCUCAAAAGAGCAACAUUGGGAGGUACUGAAUAGGUUUAUACCUACAGGGUAAAAGCAUACUUUUCAAAAAACAAAGAUGCAGAAGACUAAAGAAAUAUAGAAGCUCGAAAGUAAAAGAGAAAAAUGUUAACAGAUCCUGCCAACUGAAAAAAAAAUGCAAAGAACACCAAAAGGUGAAAAAGCAAUGAGCUUCAAAUAAAAAUGUGCCCACCUGCAUACGUUACAGCAACUAGCAAAGCAUCAUUAAAAAUAAAAAGUACCAUUUUAUUAGGACAUCAUAGGCAUUCAGGAUAAAGUAUGAAGUAUUGAAAAAUUGCAACUGAUAUUGCAACUGAAAAUAAAGACCUGGUGAAUAUGCCAAUCAGUCACCUUGUGCCAUUGCUUUCAGAGAUAAGAGGAUAACACACCAGAUGUUCCUAGGAAAUUAAGGUGGGAUGGGCACUCAGCAAAAUCAAUCUAACUAAUAGUGAAUAAAAUAACUGUUGAAGACAAGUCCCUCAUACCAAAUGGUUUCCUUCCUGGAAAGAGAAGAGAACACUACACAUUAAAGUAUACUUUUCCAAGUACUGCUGGACCAGAACAGCUCACGAGGACAGAAAUACUGUAUUCCAUCCCGAUGAAAUGCAGAAGAGGUCAGCAGGGAAUCAUAGACUAGGUAACCAAACAUCUUUUGUCAGGCAGCAAUAAGAUGAAUAAAGGACAGCGAGAGUGUAUAUCUCAAAGAUGUUUAGUGAACAGACGGUCUCGGCGUGGAUAUAUUGGAUAAGUCAUGCUUGAUUAAAAUGAUGACAUUUUUGGACAAGGCAAUGCUAAUAGGUAUAAUUUUAUGGAUUCUUGAAAGGCAUCUGUUAAAUAUCCUUGUACCUAAUGUUGAAAUUCAUGAAAUUGUGGAUACCUCUCACCAUAAGUUGUUCCAGAGUUUUGUGUAGCCUUUAAUUAUUUACUGAUUAAAAUAGACAUUUUA